AGUGAACGCUGGCGGUAGGCCUAACACAUGCAAGUCGAACGGCAGCACCGUACGAGCUUGCUCUUCCGGGUGGCGAGUCGCGGACGGGAGAGGAAUACAUCGGGCCCUACUUUUUCGUGUGGGUUCACGUAGGGAAACCUUCGCUAAUAUCGCAUCCGACCUACGGGUGAAAGCAGGGGAUCUUUGGACCUUGUGCGAUUGAAUGAGCCGAUGUCGGAUUAGCUAGUUGGCGGGGUAAAGGCCCACCAAGGCGACGAUCCGUAGCUGGUGUGAGAGGAUGGUCAGCCGCACGGGAGCGGGGACACGGACCAGGCUCCUACGGGAGGCAGCAGUGGGGAAUAGUGGGCAGUGGGCGCAAACCUGGUCCAACCAUAGCACGUGGGAGGAGGAGGCCUUCGGGGUGUGAAGCCCUUUUGUGGGGAAAGAAAAGCAGCAGGUUGAUACCCCGCUGUUCUGACGGUAACCGAAGAAUAAGCACCGGCUAACUUCGUG
RNAcentral lists this ribosomal RNA (492 nucleotides) under uncultured bacterium. RNAcentral's name for it is "partial 16S ribosomal RNA". It matches the Rfam family "Bacterial small subunit ribosomal RNA", at positions 28 to 507 of the family's 1533-position model. The record is from RNAcentral.